This 497-nucleotide ribosomal RNA is filed under the name uncultured bacterium. RNAcentral describes it as "partial 16S ribosomal RNA". It matches the Rfam family "Bacterial small subunit ribosomal RNA", at positions 28 to 507 of the family's 1533-position model. The record is from RNAcentral.
GAUGAACGCUGGCGGCGUGCCUAAUACAUGCAAGUCGAGCGAACAGACGAGGAGCUUGCUCCUCUGACGUUAGCGGCGGACGGGUGAGUAACACGUGGAUAACCUACCUAUAAGACUGGGAUAACUUCGGGAAACCGGAGCUAAUACCGGAUAACAUGUUGAACCGCAUGGUUCAACAGUGAAAGACGGUCUUGCUGUCACUUAUAGAUGGAUCCGCGCCGCAUUAGCUAGUUGGUAAGGUAACGGCUUACCAAGGCAACGAUGCGUAGCCGACCUGAGAGGGUGAUCGGCCACACUGGAACUGAGACACGGUCCAGACUCCUAAGGGAGGCAGCAGUAGGGAAUCUUCCGCAAUGGGCGAAAGCCUGACGGAGCAACGCCGCGUGAGUGAAGAAGGUCUUCGGAUCGUAAAACUCUGUUAUUAGGGAAGAACAAAUGUGUAAGUAACUAUGCACGUCUUGACGGUACCUAAUCAGAAAGCCACGGCUAACUACGUG